UAGGGAAUCUUCGGCAAUGGACGAAAGUCUGACCGAGCAACGCCGCGUGAGUGAAGAAGGUUUUCGGAUCGUAAAACUCUGUUGUUAGAGAAGAACAAGGACGUUAGUAACUGAACGUCCCCUGACGGUAUCUAACCAGAAAGCCACGGCUAACUACGUGCCAGCAGCCGCGGUAAUACGUAGGUGGCAAGCGUUGUCCGGAUUUAUUGGGCGUAAAGCGAGCGCAGGCGGUUUCUUAAGUCUGAUGUGAAAGCCCCCGGCUCAACCGGGGAGGGUCAUUGGAAACUGGGAGACUUGAGUGCAGACGAGGAGAGUGGAAUUCCAUGUGUAGCGGUGAAAUGCGUAGAUAUAUGGAGGAACACCAGUGGCGAAGGCGGCUCUCUGGUCUGUCACUGACGCUGAGGCUCGAAAGCGUGGGGAGCAAACAGG
Molecule: ribosomal RNA, 429 nt
Filed under: Gemmatimonadota bacterium
Lineage: Bacteria; Pseudomonadati; Gemmatimonadota
Description: Gemmatimonadetes bacterium partial 16S ribosomal RNA
Rfam family: Bacterial small subunit ribosomal RNA
Source: RNAcentral